Molecule: ribosomal RNA, 478 nt
Filed under: uncultured bacterium
Lineage: Bacteria
Description: partial 16S ribosomal RNA
Rfam family: Bacterial small subunit ribosomal RNA
Source: RNAcentral
GACGAACGCUGGCGGCGUGCUUAACACAUGCAAGUCGAACGGUAAGACCCUUCGGGGUACACGAGUGGCGAACGGGUGAGUAACACGUGGGUGAUCUGCCCUGCACUUCGGGAUAAGCCUGGGAAACUGGGUCUAAUACCGGAUAGGACCACUGCCUGCAUGGGUGGGGGUGGAAAGCUUUUGCGGGGUGGGAUGGGCCCGCGGCCUAUCAGCUUGUUGGUGGGGUGAUGGCCUACCAAGGCGACGACGGGUAGCCGGCCUGAGAGGGUGACCGGCCACACUGGGACUGAGAUACGGCCCAGACUCCUACGGGAGGCAGCAGUGGGGAAUAUUGCACAAUGGGCGCAAGCCUGAUGCAGCGACGCCGCGUGAGGGAUGACGGCCUUCGGGUUGUAAACCUCUUUCAGCACCGACGAAGCGCAAGUGACGGUAGGUGCAGAAGAAGGACCGGCCAACUACGUGCCAGCCGCCGCGGUAA